This 481-nucleotide long non-coding RNA is filed under the name Parus major (Great Tit). RNAcentral's name for it is "lncRNA (ENSPMJG00000004601.1)". The record is from RNAcentral. Lineage: Eukaryota; Metazoa; Chordata; Aves; Passeriformes; Paridae.
AUGGUGGCAUCAGGAGGUGACACGGGGACAGGGGUGGGGACAUUGGGUGAUGGUGGCACCAGGAGGAGACACUGGGUCAAUGGUGGCCUUGGGGACAUCAGGGUGAGGGUGGUGGCACCAGGAGGUGACACGGGGACAUCGGGUGGGGACAUUGGGGUGAUGGUGGCCUUGGUGACAUGGUGGCCUUGGGGACAUUGGGUGAUGGUGGCAGCAGGAGGUGACACGGGGACAUUGGGUGAGGGUGGUGGCACCAGGAGGUGACACGGGGACAGGGGAGGGGACAUUGGGGUGAUGGUGGCCUUGGUGACAUGGUGGCCUUGGGGACAUUGGGGCGAGGGUGGCAGCAGGAAUUGACAUGGGGUCAGUGGUGGCCUUGGGGACAUCGGGUGAUGGUGGCACCAGGAGGUGACAUGGGGUCAAUGGUGGCCCUGGGGACAUCGGGGUGAUGGUGGCCUUGGUGACAUGGUGGCCCUGGGGACAU